CUUCGUCAUCCUGAGAGGAAAGAGGCACCGGAGGAUCCAUAAAAUUGGAUACGGGAGCCAAAAUGGAGGAAUUAUCAAGGGCGGCGGGACAAGGAGCAAGUCGGCGGCGGGGGCGGCGAUCUUCGUCGAGAAGGAAGCGACUGUUUUCCUCUUCGUCUUCAAUAUCCCAAGCGUCUCUUCGUCGUCCUGAGAGGGAAGAGGCACCGGAGAAUCCAUAAAAUUGGUUACAGGAGCCGAAAUGGAGGAAUUAUCAAGGGCGGCGGGACAAGGAGCAGGUCGGCGGCGGGGGCGGCGAUCUUCGUCGAGAAGGAAUCGAUUGUUUUCCUCUUCGUCCUCAAUAUCCCAAGCGUCGUGAGAGGCACGUGCGAUAAAUGACUGAACAAAAUCAAUGCCGAAGAAUCCAAGGAGGUAAAUGAAAGAGGCAAUGAGAGAGAGAAUGGCAGCGAGUUCGGAGAGAGUGACGACGUGGAGAGGGGUGGAGUUACGGAUCUUGUCACGCCAGCGAUGGAGAAGGUAAUAAGCAACAGAAAAAAAGAGGGUGAUUCAUGAAUUUCAGAAAGACUUGUGAAAGAGGCAAUGAGAGAUAGAAUGGCAGCGAGUUCGGAGAGAGUAACGACGUGGAGAGGGGUGGAGUUACGGAUCUUGUCACGCCAGCGAUGGAGAAGGUAAUAAGCAACAGAAAAAAAGAGGGUGAAGAAAAUGCCGUUGGUUAGGUAUAGAGGGAGAGGAAGGGCAUCGGAAGCUUUAGGGGCAGGGGAAGGAGAACGACGGAGGGCGGCGGAGGAAGUUCGUUGAGGGUGGUGUUGAAGAUGGUGAUUCCGGUGAGAAGGCUUGGGAGGUCUCCGACGAACAUCCAUAUUCUGGCAGAGAAGAGAAGAGAAUAGAAAAUUUUGAAAAAGGAGGAGCGGAGGAGCGAUGAAUUCGGGA
RNAcentral lists this long non-coding RNA (927 nucleotides) under Nicotiana benthamiana. Its description in RNAcentral is "long non-coding RNA (NBEN_LNC034280)". Lineage: Eukaryota; Viridiplantae; Streptophyta; Magnoliopsida; Solanales; Solanaceae. The record is from RNAcentral.